This 340-nucleotide ribosomal RNA is filed under the name Stenygrinum quadrinotatum. RNAcentral's name for it is "SSU rRNA". It matches the Rfam family "Eukaryotic small subunit ribosomal RNA", at positions 583 to 885 of the family's 1831-position model. The record is from RNAcentral. Lineage: Eukaryota; Metazoa; Arthropoda; Insecta; Coleoptera; Cerambycidae.
UUCCAGCUCCAAUAGCGUAUAUUAAAGUUGUUGCGGUUAAAAAGCUCGUAGUCGAAUCUGUGUCCCGCGCCGCCGGUUCAUCGUCCGCGGUGUUAACUGGCGUGUCGCGGGACGUCCUGCCGGUGGGCUUAGCUCGCAAGGGCGGCCCAACUCAAUCCCGCCGCGGUGCUCUUCACUGAGUGUCGAGGUGGGCCGGCACGUUUACUUUGAACAAAUUAGAGUGCUUAAAGCAGGCUAAAACUUCGCCUGAAUACUGUGUGCAUGGAAUAAUGGAAUAGGACCUCGGUUCUAUUUUGUUGGUUUUCGGAACCCCGAGGUAAUGAUUAAUAGGAACGGAUGG